Molecule: long non-coding RNA, 1367 nt
Organism: Numida meleagris (helmeted guineafowl)
Lineage: Eukaryota; Metazoa; Chordata; Aves; Galliformes; Numididae
Exons: 3
Source: RefSeq, a predicted model, not a curated record
UGCACAAAGGGCAGGACAGGCUGUUUGGGAUGUGCCACUUCUGCUCAAUUCAAAUGCAGACUUCAUCAGGGCAGCUGGCAGAAGGGAUGGCUCCAGUCCUUCAUGCUCACAGACACGGUCCCCCUGCCCAUGGCUUUGUUUGGUGCUAUCUGUCUGCUUUCCCAAUUAGCCACUGUACUGCUACCUUUCCUAGCAGACAUGAUGCAAAAUAAAUGACCUAAGAGUUCCCCCAGCACAUGGCUCAUUAGUGACGGACCAAACACCAGGAAAAGCACGCAAAGGGCUGGUUCAGCCUGGCAAGGAGGUGAGAUGAAUGAUCUACCAGCUUCUUUCCCCUUGUAGAAUGUGGGGCCACACACCAAAGGCACCAAGUUAGCACCCAGAGCCUGCGUCCUCCUGCAGCCAUGCAUUUCCACCCGAGCCCACAUGUUAUUCCAAAACCCUCGUGAACAUAUGUCUCUGACAGUUGUCAAAAAAUGUUGGACAGAGGCUCUGUGGUCAGCUUGAUCCGUCCCAUCUGGUACUCUGCUCUUUUUAUUCAUUGGACACUGGUCCCUCCAUUCACUGCAGCGAUAAUUUGAGUCAGAGCAGAGCCUGGCCCUUUGUUCCCAAAGCACCCAGCACCUUGCAGCAGCUGGAGAAUAGGUGAGGACUCCCUGGGGCUCAUGUCCGUGUCGAACUCUCUCUCUGCUUAUCAGACCCUUUGUUCCGGACCUGGCUCUGGCUGAACCUCGGUGAACUUCCCCCGCAUCCCCUUCCCCGCCGGCGAGCUCGCAGCCGUGAACUUCCCGUGCCCGACUCAAGCAUCUCCAAGAGGUGUGAUCUGAGCUGCAGCCGGAGGAAGGAGAUGGCCGACCCACCCCUGGCUCCCGCUCAGCCUCCCUAAUCAACGCAGGAAUGUCUCUGGACAUGAGUGCUCCCGGCUAAACUGCUCUGUGCACCACUUGGCUUGGCAAGUACUUCCUCUGCGAGCCAUCUGUGCAGGUCACACCAGGCAAAGCACACCACGUGCCCUGAUGGGUCAGCAUGUUUUAUCACACCGAGCCAGAAGAGAGUCUUGUGCUCCUGUGAUCCACUGGACGUUCUGUGGUCCAUGGAAAUCCUGAGGUCUAUGGAGGUCUUGUGGUCCCACUGCUGUUGCCAGGUGCAGUAACCCUCAGUGGGGAUGCUAUGGACCACCUCCCGCUGGCAGAGAUGGUGGCAACGUGGGCUGAGAGCAAAGGGAACAUCGUGCAGAAAGACCCUACGCAAGUGAGUAUGGAAGAGAGGAUGGAUAUUGAUGCUUGUGCCCCAGACCAGCCUGCUCCUUGUGACAGACUGCAAUAAGCCAUCGCUGGACGAUGAUAGAAAGGUUCUUUGAAAAUCUC